AGAGUUUGAUCCUGGCUCAGAUUGAACGCUGGCGGCAGGCUUAACACAUGCAAGUCGAGCGGGGGAAGGUAGCUUGCUACUGGACCUAGCGGCGGACGGGUGAGUAAUGCUUAGGAAUCUGCCUAUUAGUGGGGGACAACAUCUCGAAAGGGAUGCUAAUACCGCAUACGUCCUACGGGAGAAAGCAGGGGAUCUUCGGACCUUGCGCUAAUAGAUGAGCCUAAGUCGGAUUAGCUAGUUGGUGGGGUAAAGGCCUACCAAGGCGACGAUCUGUAGCGGGUCUGAGAGGAUGAUCCGCCCACACUKGGACUKAGRMRCGGCCCAGRCUCCUACGGGAGGCAGCAGUKGGGAAUAUUGGACMAUGGGGGGAACCCUGAUCCAGCCAUGCCGCGUGUGUGAAGRAGGCCUUAUGGUUGUAAAGCACUUUAAGCGAGGGAGGAGGCUACUUUAGUUAAUACCUAGAGAAUAGUGGACGUUACUCGCAGAAUAAACACCGGCUAACUCUGUGCCAGCAGCCGCGGUAAUACAGAGGGUGCGAGCGUUAAUCGGAUUUACUGGGCGUGAAGCGUGCGUAGGCGGCUUAUUAAGUCGGAUGUGAAAUCCCCGAGCUUAACUUGGGAAUUGCAUUCGAUACUGGUGAGCUAGAGUAUGGGAGAGGAUGGUAGAAUUCCAGGUGUAGCGGUGAAAUGCGUAGAGAUCUGGAGGAAUACCGAUGGCGAAGGCAGCCAUCUGGCCUAAUACUGACGCUGAGGUACGAAAGCAUGGGGAGCAAACAGGAUUAGAUACCCUGGUAGUCCAUGCCGUAAACGAUGUCUACUAGCCGUUGGGGCCUUUGAGGCUUUAGUGGCGCAGCUAACGCGAUAAGUAGACCGCCUGGGGAGUACGGUCGCAAGACUAAAACUCAAAUGAAUUGACGGGGGCCCGCACAAGCGGUGGAGCAUGUGGUUUAAUUCGAUGCAACGCGAAGAACCUUACCUGGCCUUGACAUACUAGAAACUUUCCAGAGAUGGAUUGGUGCCUUCGGGAAUCUAGAUACAGGUGCUGCAUGSCUGUCGUCAGCUCGUGUCGUGRRAUGKUGGGUUAAGUCCCGCAACGARCGCMACCMUUUUCCUUACUUGCCAGCAUUUCCGGAUKGGAACUUUAAGGAWWCUGCCAGUGWCAMACUGGAGRWAKGCGGGGACGACGUCAAGUCAUCAUGGCCCUUACGGCCAGGGCUACACACGUGCUACAAUGGUCGGUACAAAGGGUUGCUACACAGCGAUGUGAUGCUAAUCUCAAAAAGCCGAUCGUAGUCCGGAUUGGAGUCUGCAACUCGACUCCAUGAAGUCGGAAUCGCUAGUAAUCGCGGAUCAGAAUGCCGCGGUGAAUACGUUCCCGGGCCUUGUACACACCGCCCGUCACACCAUGGGAGUUUGUUGCACCAGAAGUAGCUAGCCUAACUGCAAAGAGGGCGGUUACCACGGUGUGGCCGAUGACUGGGGUGAAGUCGUAACAAGGUAGCC
This 1502-nucleotide ribosomal RNA is filed under the name Acinetobacter baumannii. RNAcentral's name for it is "bacterial SSU rRNA". It matches the Rfam family "Bacterial small subunit ribosomal RNA". Lineage: Bacteria; Pseudomonadati; Pseudomonadota; Gammaproteobacteria; Moraxellales; Moraxellaceae. The record is from RNAcentral.